CAAUAGCGUAUAUUAAAGUUGUUGCAGUUAAAAGCUCGUAGUUGGAUCUCGGGAGCGAGCGGGCGGUCGGGCGUUCAGCCGUGCACUUCCCGCUCAUCCUACUGUCCGGUACGUGCCCUGUGCUCUUAACCGAGUGUAGGGAGCGUCUGGAGCGUUUACUUUGAAAAAUUAGAGUGCUCAAAGCAGACGAUUCGUCUGAAUAGCCGUGCAUGGAAUAAUGGAAUAGGACCUCGGUUCUAUUUUGUUGGUUUUCGGAAGUCGAGGUAAUGAUUAAGAGGGACAGACGGGGCAUUGCGUACUGGCCGGCCAGCAGGUGAAAUUGCUUUAAUCUAGGCUCGAUGACGAACCACUGC
Molecule: ribosomal RNA, 353 nt
Filed under: uncultured eukaryote
Lineage: Eukaryota
Description: SSU rRNA
Rfam family: Eukaryotic small subunit ribosomal RNA
Source: RNAcentral